AGGAAAAACUUCAAAAACCCCCCCUGUGGUUUCGUGCAUUCUCACUUUGCUACCCUGUGGUUUAAAACGUAUCAAUUUACCCCCCUGUGGUUUCAUUUUUAUCUUUUCGGAAGCUUUUUCGUUAAUAUUUCGUUAAAUUAUAUACAAAAAACUUCAGAUAACCAUCUAUAUUUAUCGAAUAGUUACUUUAGUAUCCUUUAAUUUUAACUUUGUCACUGAUUUUAAAAAAAAAUAAUAAUAAAAUUGAUAAUAAAAAGAUAAAAACGAAACCACAGGGGGGCAAAUUGAUACGUUUUAAACCACAGGGUAGCAAAGUGAGAAUGCACGAAACCACGGGGGGUUUUGAAGUUUUUUCUUUUAAAGACGAUAAACGAUUCACAGCCUUUCUAAUUCCCCACAAAAGUAGUGAAUAAUUUACCGUCUUUUAUUUAUUUUCUAUUUCCUUCCAUAUAGGGACUGAGCUAUUAAUACACCCAAAGGGGCCAUAGCGCCCCUCAACUUUUCAAUAUUUACUUUACAGUCCUUUGUAGCUUUAUAAACCUUUAGUCAAUUUUUAAAAUAUAUGGGCCUAUCUUGUAAAAAGCUUUUAGUGCUAGUAUAGAGCUCUUUUUUUCUUAUGUGUUUUAUAGAUAAAAAUACAC
RNAcentral lists this long non-coding RNA (641 nucleotides) under Ananas comosus (pineapple). RNAcentral's name for it is "long non-coding RNA (ACOM_LNC043134)". Lineage: Eukaryota; Viridiplantae; Streptophyta; Magnoliopsida; Poales; Bromeliaceae. The record is from RNAcentral.